Molecule: long non-coding RNA, 970 nt
Organism: Bolinopsis microptera
Lineage: Eukaryota; Metazoa; Ctenophora; Tentaculata; Lobata; Bolinopsidae
Exons: 4
Source: RefSeq, a predicted model, not a curated record
GAAUGAGUCUGUGUGACGAGGAAUACACCGUAGAUCAACUCUACGAUAUUUCACUCCAUCCCGACAAACUGAAGUCCUAUCCUGGUUUCCAAAACUUGCACAAAUUGACGUCUGGUACUAUUACUUUUCACUACGAUCUACCAUACGAUGAUAUAAAGGAAUUUGUAGAGGAGGAGAAGAAAACUAUUUUAAGUAAAGUCCCGGAGGAUGUGAUAAAAAGCAAUGGAGUAAAGUGGGAGCAUGUCGGAUCUACUUCCAUUAAAGGUAUGCCAGGCACAAUAUUUCCAGAUUCCUUAAUCCUUUUUGACUGCCUGCCGAUUCCAAAACCUAUUUUCACUGCCCUGAUGGAUUCAGGAUUCUCGUUCGUCGGCUCCAGUUUUCAUCACCAAGAUGAUAUUUGGUUCAUAAAGCAGAUAACUAGAGAUGGAUCUAGACUGGACAAACAAUUCUUCAUAAUACACGUUACCCCAGCAACCUUAGGGCUAUCAAGAGUUUUGGUUGAAACCAGAGACAGAUGCAAUGAAAAUCAAACAGAUUUUGAGACCUAUAAGGAGGCAAAAGUGAAAGCAGCAAAACUCUUGAUGGAAGAAAACGUUAUCGGUUACAAGAUUGAAAAAGGAUCAAACAAGCUUUUUGCAGAGCUUAAUGAAAAUAAUCCAAACUAUUCUGUGCAGGGAAAGUAAACCUCAGAGCAGUAUGACAAAUCACCCGCGACAGGAUGAAGGAUAAUUAAUUUCAAACUAACAUGUUUUAAAAUUUUAUAUAAAGUUGAUUAAUGUGUCGUGUAGGAUAUAUUUAUGAGUCAAUACUUCACAUUGGAAGUUUCAUCUUAGACUGAUUUGGAUUUCUAUUUUCGCCACUGCGAAAAUCCAAAUUUUGAUUUACUUUGGUUUGAAAAGUUGCUAAUAUAUCAAAGUUAUUUUUAAUAUGUAUUUUAACAUGUAAUAAUUUAUCUACAAAUUAUAACAAA